GGGGUCAUGGCUCAGUGGUAGAGCGCUUGCCUAGCUUGCAUGAGGUACUGGGUUCGAUCCCUGGCACCA
Molecule: transfer RNA, 69 nt
Filed under: Ictidomys tridecemlineatus (thirteen-lined ground squirrel)
Lineage: Eukaryota; Metazoa; Chordata; Mammalia; Rodentia; Sciuridae
Description: Spermophilus tridecemlineatus (thirteen-lined ground squirrel) tRNA
Rfam family: tRNA
About the family: Transfer RNA (tRNA) molecules are approximately 80 nucleotides in length. Their secondary structure includes four short double-helical elements and three loops (D, anti-codon, and T loops).
Source: Rfam by way of RNAcentral